AAAAAGCUCACAAUGAUUUUUGUCUCCAGCAGGCAGUGUGUAGCAAUGGCUUCUAGGUUGAAGACAUACAACUAAAAAACUGGAUGUGACCCUCUUAACAGUUUUUUCAGAGUAAGGGAGAGCAACACACAGAGAUAGAAAGAGCGAGAAGGCAAAGAGAAGACACUGAAGACAAACUUGGCCAUUUAAGGUCCUCCUUAGCCUCAUUUUCUCCAGCUGAAGAUCUUUAGAUUCCAUUAUCAUUUAUGGAAUGCACUGAUCCACGGAUCAAGCUUAUAUACACAUUUAGGGGCUAUCCAUUGACUGAUCCAGCCCACCAAUGCAUGAAGCUGAGGACUACUUUGAAAACACAGAGAGAGACCAGAAAAUGCCAUGGCUUAAGCAAAAAACUGCUUCUGGAAAUGAUUUAAAUAAACAAAAUUAGAUACACAAAAA
Molecule: long non-coding RNA, 435 nt
Organism: Pongo pygmaeus (Bornean orangutan)
Lineage: Eukaryota; Metazoa; Chordata; Mammalia; Primates; Hominidae
Exons: 3
Source: RefSeq, a predicted model, not a curated record